ACGGAAGUGGCGAAAUAAGGUAUACGCGUUAGAUUUAGGUUCUAAUAGAAUUUUUCUAUGAGAGUUCAAAUCUCUCCUUCCGUA
Non-coding RNA from Eimeria tenella, 84 nucleotides. The record is from Rfam. NCBI's taxonomy places the organism in Eukaryota, Apicomplexa, Conoidasida, Eucoccidiorida, Eimeriidae.